AAUUGAUACGGUUUAGAGCUGUGAGCAAAAGGGACAUUUAUAUUUCUUUUCCUUUUUCUGUUUCUCAGACUCACAGGUACGUGAGUUCCAUAGUGUCGGGUUUGAAAUAUAAAUAAGCAAGUGAGAGAACACCAAACUGAACAAAACACCAAUCUAUUCUCCAGUCUCCACCCGCCGCCCCCUUGCGGAGGUGGAGACUUGGAACGCAUCUUGCUUCCCGUCCUCGGACAUCCGCCAUGGAGUUUGUUCCUACAGCUGCAGCUGCACCCAUCAUGCGCGGGACACCGUCAGACUCGCCGCGUCCUCAUGUGGCCACAAGGACUGGUCUCUCCUGAGACGAAAUGGUAACAACCUGACACUGCUUCUCCCCCUAGACGCUGCCUACUGCCUCCCCACCCCAGGCCCUCGCCUGCCCUGAGCUCUGCACCCCCUGGACCGCAGGAGCUGGAUCACUUGGGGCACGGCUGGCCAGCGCUCCACCAAGGUGUGGCAUCCGUUCAUCUUUCAAGACCGACCGUGCUGGUGUGCUCGGGUUGCUGUGUGACCCCUGGAGUCACAACACUGACUUGAACAUCUUCCUCAUGGAAAAGGCAGCAAAGCGCUGACUACAAAGAUUGCUGCGGCCAAUGAACGCGCCUGAGCCAGCGUGCGGCACUCACCUUUGUCGGAGGACGCUGUCCUUCCGCCCUGGCCUACGUCCUUGUGGGUUGGCCUAUCUCUCAUUAACUGACUCAGUUAACUGUUCAAAUGGGCGAUUCCUUUUGAAAUCACAGCACUCCAUGGUUGAGUAUUGCCCAGGGAUUAUAAUUCCAAGCUCAUUACAGGCCAAACCUCCAGGGCCGGGUGACAUUUUAUCUAUGGAAGAUUGCCUGAAAAAUACAGAGAUGAGCCGCUCUGCUUUACCAUCUGCAAACGGCUGGACCCUCCUAGGACCCCUGAGGCCCACCCACGGCGGCUCGCUGCAGAAAAACAAGAGAACAUCUCUUGCCUCAAAGUAUGAGAUCCAUAGACACAGAGACAGAGGUUCGUUGCUGCAUUCCCAGCAAAGGGGGCGCUGGUACAUAAAUGAAAAAUAAAUUUUUAAUACAUAAAAAUAAAUACUUGUUCAGUUUCUUGUUGUGGAAUUCCUGAAAGCUCCCACACAAAUCCCUAGACCUGACCUUGGCCAAAUGCCCAUCUCUGUGCUAAUCUUUUCAUCAGGGGGAUCCAGUGCCCUAAUUACUCAGGUCUCAAUCACACCGCUCUCACCCCAAACCAGGGAGGGGUUUCUAACUAAACUGUGCGCUCUGCCAGACAGCGGGGAGGGCGGAUCUCUGAAGGAAAUCGAGGGCAUUACCAAGGAGAAACACCCUGGGCCGCCAGAACGGCAGAUAUGCUCGUGCUGGACUUCAGAGCAGGGGCUGCUGGAGUUGAAUGUUAAAGGGUGAGCAGGAAUUAGCUAAUAAAGAGGGCAGUUAUCAGUGGGGGGCUUUCUAGGUAUGUUCAAAGCACAGAAGCAUAAAAUAGCUUCAUGCUGUUGAAGAACUGUAAAUAGUGUCAUUCAGUCAGAGCAAACAAAGGUGGGGAGCUGUAGGAAAAUCAGCUACAGAGAUAGGCAGAAUGCAAACAUGAAGGACCUUUGAAACUAAUCCAAGGAGCACACGCUUUGUCCUGAAAGCCCCAGGAAACCUGUGUAGGAUUUUCAGCAGGCGCUUGCCUCACAGCUAAGCCCUGGCUGAUGGCUACAGGGUCUGGACCGAUUCAUUCUGCAAAUGCUGGAUGAGCCUGAGGCUGCAAGUCAAGGAAAAGAGCCCCAGAUAUGGAGGACUGAGGGAUACAGGGAAUAGGAACCGAGCAAAUUCUAGGAGUCAAGCAGGCCCGAGAACCACACAGCUACUCUUUCAGACACUAAGUUGCCCGGGGUGGGCUCAAACUUGCCAUCCUCCUGCCUCAGCCUCCCAGUGUGCUGGGAUUAUAGGCACUCACCACCGUAUAUCUGACUUGAAUUUCCCCUUUUUGUGAGGACAACAGUCCUAUAUCACUG
This 2023-nucleotide long non-coding RNA is filed under the name Chinchilla lanigera (long-tailed chinchilla). Its description in RNAcentral is "lncRNA (ENSCLAG00000025723.1)". Lineage: Eukaryota; Metazoa; Chordata; Mammalia; Rodentia; Chinchillidae. The record is from RNAcentral.